This 253-nucleotide ribosomal RNA is filed under the name uncultured bacterium. Its description in RNAcentral is "partial 16S ribosomal RNA". It matches the Rfam family "Bacterial small subunit ribosomal RNA", at positions 524 to 776 of the family's 1533-position model. The record is from RNAcentral.
UACGGGGGGGGCAAGCGUUGUUCGGAAUUACUGGGCGUAAAGGGCUCGUAGGCGGCCAACUAAGUCCGACGUGAAAUCCCCAGGCUUAACCUGGGAACUGCGUCGGAUACUGGUUGGCUUGAAUCCGGGAGAGGGAUGCGGAAUUCCAGGUGUAGCGGUGAAAUGCGUAGAUAUCUGGAGGAACACCGGCGGCGAAGGCGGCCCUCUGGAUCGUUGCUGACGCUGAGACGCGAAAGCGUGGGGAGCAAACAGG